UAUACCUACGGGGCGCAGCAGUGGGGAAUAUUGGGCAAUGGAGGAAACUCUGACCCAGCAAUGCCGCGUGAAUGAAGAAGGUCUUCGGAUUGUAAAGUUCUUUAGUCAGGGAAGAAGUCAAUGACGGUACCUGAAGAAUAAGCUCCGGCUAACUACGUGCCAGCAGCCGCGGUAAUACGUAGGGUGCGAGCGUUAAUCGGAAUUACUGGGCGUAAAGCGCUCGUAGGCGGUAUGUCAAGUCAAGGGUGAAAUCCCCGCGCUCAACGUGGGAACUGCCUUUGAAACUGGCAAACUGG
This 296-nucleotide ribosomal RNA is filed under the name uncultured bacterium. RNAcentral's name for it is "partial 16S ribosomal RNA". It matches the Rfam family "Bacterial small subunit ribosomal RNA", at positions 334 to 644 of the family's 1533-position model. The record is from RNAcentral.